Molecule: ribosomal RNA, 323 nt
Filed under: uncultured bacterium
Lineage: Bacteria
Description: bacterial SSU rRNA
Rfam family: Bacterial small subunit ribosomal RNA
Source: RNAcentral
GAUGAACGCUGGCGGUGUGCCUAACACAUGCAAGUCGAACGAAGCAAUUAAGAUGAAGUUUUCGGAUGGAAUCUUGAUUGACUGAGUGGCGGACGGGUGAGUAACGCGUGGAUAACCUGCCUCACACUGGGGGAUAACAGUUAGAAAUGACUGCUAAUACCGCAUAAGCGCACAGUGCCGCAUGGCAGUGUGUGAAAAACUCCGGUGGUAUGAGAUGGGCCCGCGUCUGAUUAGCUAGUUGGUGAGGUAACGGCCCACAAGGCGACGAUCAGUAGCCGACCUGAGAGGGUGACCGGCCACAUUGGGACUGAGACACGGCCCAG